GAUGAACGCUGGCGGCGUGCUUAACACAUGCAAGUCGAACGGAAAGGCCCAAGCUUGCUUGGGUACUCGAGUGGCGAACGGGUGAGUAACACGUGGGUGAUCUGCCCUGCACUUCGGGAUAAGCCUGGGAAACUGGGUCUAAUACUGGAUAGGACCACUUCUUGGAUGGUGUGGUGGAAAGUUUUUUCGGUGUGGGAUGAGAUCGCGGCCUUUCAGCUUGUUGGUGGGGUAAUGGUCUACCAAGGCGUCGACGGGUAGCCGGCCUGAGAGGGUGUACGGCCGCAUUGGGACUGAGAUACGGCCCAGACUCCGACGGGAGGCAGAAGUGGGGAAUAUUGCACAAUGGGCGCAAGCCUGAUGCAGCGACGCCGCGUGGGGGAUGACGGCCUUCGGGUUGUAAACUCCUUUCGCUAGGGACGAAGCGUUUUUGUGACGGUACCUGGAGAAGAAGCACCGGCUAACUACGUG
RNAcentral lists this ribosomal RNA (468 nucleotides) under uncultured bacterium. RNAcentral describes it as "partial 16S ribosomal RNA". It matches the Rfam family "Bacterial small subunit ribosomal RNA", at positions 28 to 507 of the family's 1533-position model. The record is from RNAcentral.